Molecule: small nucleolar RNA, 89 nt
Filed under: Neolentinus lepideus HHB14362 ss-1
Lineage: Eukaryota; Fungi; Basidiomycota; Agaricomycetes; Gloeophyllales; Gloeophyllaceae
Source: RNAcentral
UUUCUAUGAUGAUUCAUCAAUCAGUUCUGCUUCCGAAAGAGAGAGUAAUCUCCUGGUGGACAACCUUAUACCAAAAAACUCACUGACUU